CCUACGGGAGGCAGCAGUGGGGAAUAUUGGACAAUGGGGGCAACCCUGAUCCAGCAAUGCCGCGUGAGUGAUGAAGGCCUUAGGGUUGUAAAGCUCUUUUACCGGGGACGAUGAUGACGGUACCCGGAGAAUAAGCCCCGGCUAACUUCGUGCCAGCAGCCGCGGUAAUACGAAGGGGGCGAGCGUUGUUCGGAGUUACUGGGCGUAAAGGGCGCGUAGGCGGCGCUCCAAGUUAGGCGUGAAAGCCCCGGGCUCAACCUGGGAAUAGCGCUUAAGACUGGAGUGCUUGAGUGCGGGAGAGGUGGGUGGAAUUCCCAGUGUAGAGGUGAAAUUCGUAGAUAUUGGGAAGAACACCAGUGGCGAAGGCGGCUCACUGGCCCGCAACUGACGCUGAGGCGCGAAAGCGUGGGGAGCAAACAGGAUUAGAUACCCUGGUAGUCCACGCCGUAAACGAUGAGUGCUAGACGUUAGGGUAGGACGUUAGUCUCUUAGUUGUCGUCAGCUAACGACAUGAAGCACUCCGCCGUCGGGGUAGGUACGGCCGGCCGAACGGUUAAAACGUAACGAAAUAGAAGUUAGACGG
RNAcentral lists this ribosomal RNA (583 nucleotides) under uncultured bacterium. RNAcentral describes it as "bacterial SSU rRNA". It matches the Rfam family "Bacterial small subunit ribosomal RNA", at positions 338 to 873 of the family's 1533-position model. The record is from RNAcentral.